AUUGAACGCUGGCGGCAUGCCUUACACAUGCAAGUCGAACGGCAGCACGGGAGCAAUCCUGGUGGCGAGUGGCGAACGGGUGAGUAAUAUAUCGGAACGUGCCCAGUAGUGGGGGAUAGCCCGGCGAAAGCCGGAUUAAUACCGCAUACGACCUGAGGGUGAAAGCGGGGGAUCGCAAGACCUCGCGCUAUUGGAGCGGCCGAUAUCAGAUUAGCUAGUUGGUGGGGUAAAGGCCUACCAAGGCUACGAUCUGUAGUUGGUCUGAGAGGACGACCAGCCACACUGGGACUGAGACACGGCCCAGACUCCUACGGGAGGCAGCAGUGGGGAAUUUUGGACAAUGGGCGCAAGCCUGAUCCAGCAAUGCCGCGUGCAGGAAGAAGGCC
Molecule: ribosomal RNA, 386 nt
Filed under: uncultured bacterium
Lineage: Bacteria
Description: bacterial SSU rRNA
Rfam family: Bacterial small subunit ribosomal RNA
Source: RNAcentral